Molecule: ribosomal RNA, 450 nt
Filed under: uncultured Glomeromycotina
Lineage: Eukaryota; Fungi; Glomeromycota
Description: SSU rRNA
Rfam family: Eukaryotic small subunit ribosomal RNA
Source: RNAcentral
AGCAGCCGCGGUAAUUCCAGCUCCAAUAGCGUAUAUUAAAGUUGUUGCAGUUAAAAGCUCGUAGUUGAAUUUCGGGAUCAAGGAAUCGGUCAUGCCUCGGUAUGUACUGGUUUUAUGGUUCUCACCUUCUAAAGAACCAUAAUGUCAUUUAUUUGGUGUUAUGGGGAAUUAGGACUGUUACCUUGAAAAAUUAGAGUGUUUAAAGCAAGCUUACGCUUGAAUACAUUAGCAUGGAAUAAUGAAAUAGGACAUCCGAUUCUAUUUUGUUGGUUUCUAGGAUCGAUGUAAUGAUUAAUAGGGAUAGUUGGGGGCAUUAGUAUUCAAUUGUCAGAGGUGAAAUUCUUGGAUUUAUUGAAGACUAACUACUGCGAAAGCAUUUGCCAAGGAUGUUUUCAUUAAUCAAGAACGAAAGUUAGGGAUCGAAGACGAUCAGAUACCGUCGUAGUCUUA